RNAcentral lists this ribosomal RNA (454 nucleotides) under uncultured Sphingobacteriales bacterium. Its description in RNAcentral is "bacterial SSU rRNA". It matches the Rfam family "Bacterial small subunit ribosomal RNA", at positions 930 to 1382 of the family's 1533-position model. The record is from RNAcentral. Lineage: Bacteria; Pseudomonadati; Bacteroidota; Sphingobacteriia; Sphingobacteriales.
CGGAGGAGGCAUGUGGUUUAAUUUCGUAUGAUACGCGAGGAACCUUACCUGGGCUCGAACGUAAGAUGACUGUAGGUGAAAGCUUACAUCUCUUCGGAGCAUUUUACGAGGUGCUGCAUGGUUGUCGUCAGCUCGUGCCGUGAGGUGUCGGGUUAAGUCCCAUAACGAGCGCAACCCCUACCUUUAGUUGCCAUCAGGUUAAGCUGGGGACUCUAAAGGAACUGCCUACGCAAGUAGUGAGGAAGCGGGGAUGACGUCAAAUCAGCACGGCCCUUACGUCCAGGGCUACACACGUGCUACAAUGGCCGAUACAGAGGGCAGCUACCUGGUGACAGGAUGCAAAUCUCCAAAGUCGGUCUCAGUUCGGAUCGGAGUCUGCAACCCGACUCCGUGAAGUUGGAUUCGCUAGUAAUCGCGCAUCAGCCAUGGCGCGGUGAAUACGUUCCCGGGCCUU